This 497-nucleotide ribosomal RNA is filed under the name uncultured bacterium. RNAcentral's name for it is "partial 16S ribosomal RNA". It matches the Rfam family "Bacterial small subunit ribosomal RNA", at positions 28 to 507 of the family's 1533-position model. The record is from RNAcentral.
GAUGAACGCUGGCGGCGUGCCUAAUACAUGCAAGUCGAGCGAACAGACGAGGAGCUUGCUCCUCUGACGUUAGCGGCGGACGGGUGAGUAACACGUGGAUAACCUACCUAUAAGACUGGGAUAACUUCGGGAAACCGGAGCUAAUACCGGAUAAUAUAUUGAACCGCAUGGUUCAAUAGUGAAAGACGGUUUUGCUGUCACUUAUAGAUGGAUCCGCGCCGCAUUAGCUAGUUGGUAAGGUAACGGCUUACCAAGGCAACGAUGCGUAGCCGACCUGAGAGGGUGAUCGGCCACACUGGAACUGAGAUACGGUCCAGACUCCUACGGGAGGCAGCAGUAGGGAAUCUUCCGCAAUGGGCGAAAGCUUGACGGAGCAACGCCGCGUGAGUGAUGAAGGUCUUCGGAUCGUAAAACUCUGUUAUUAGGGAAGAACAAAUGUGUAAGUAACUAUGCACGUCUUGACGGUGCCUAAUCAGAAAGCCACGGCUAACUACGUG